AUUGAACGCUGGCGGCAGGCCUAACACAUGCAAGUCGAACGGUAACAGGAAGCAGCUUGCUGCUUCGCUGACGAGUGGCGGACGGGUGAGUAAUGUCUGGGAAGCUGCCUGAUGGAGGGGGAUAACUACUGGAAACGGUAGCUAAUACCGCAUAAUGUCGCAAGACCAAAGAGGGGGACCUUCGGGCCUCUUGCCAUCGGAUGUGCCCAGAUGGGAUUAGCUUGUUGGUGGGGUAACGGCUCACCAAGGCGACGAUCCCUAGCUGGUCUGAGAGGAUGACCAGCCACACUGGAACUGAGACACGGUCCAGACUCCGACGGGAGGCAGCAGUGGGGAAUAUUGCACAAUGGGCGCAAGCCUGAUGCAGCCAUGCCGCGUGUAUGAAGAAGGCCUUCGGGUUGUAAAGUACUUUCAGCGGGGAGGAAGGGAGUAAAGUUAAUACCUUUGCUCAUUGACGUUACCCGCAGGAGAAGCACCGGCUAACUCCGUG
Molecule: ribosomal RNA, 490 nt
Filed under: uncultured bacterium
Lineage: Bacteria
Description: partial 16S ribosomal RNA
Rfam family: Bacterial small subunit ribosomal RNA
Source: RNAcentral